This 952-nucleotide ribosomal RNA is filed under the name Klebsiella pneumoniae. RNAcentral's name for it is "bacterial SSU rRNA". It matches the Rfam family "Bacterial small subunit ribosomal RNA", at positions 192 to 1125 of the family's 1533-position model. Lineage: Bacteria; Pseudomonadati; Pseudomonadota; Gammaproteobacteria; Enterobacterales; Enterobacteriaceae. The record is from RNAcentral. RNAcentral also lists the same sequence under 3 other names.
GUCGCAAGACCAAAGUGGGGGACCUUCGGGCCUCAUGCCAUCAGAUGUGCCCAGAUGGGAUUAGCUAGUAGGUGGGGUAACGGCUCACCUAGGCGACGAUCCCUAGCUGGUCUGAGAGGAUGACCAGCCACACUGGAACUGAGACACGGUCCAGACUCCUACGGGAGGCAGCAGUGGGGAAUAUUGCACAAUGGGCGCAAGCCUGAUGCAGCCAUGCCGCGUGUGUGAAGAAGGCCUUCGGGUUGUAAAGCACUUUCAGCGGGGAGGAAGGCGGUGAGGUUAAUAACCUCAUCGAUUGACGUUACCCGCAGAAGAAGCACCGGCUAACUCCGUGCCAGCAGCCGCGGUAAUACGGAGGGUGCAAGCGUUAAUCGGAAUUACUGGGCGUAAAGCGCACGCAGGCGGUCUGUCAAGUCGGAUGUGAAAUCCCCGGGCUCAACCUGGGAACUGCAUUCGAAACUGGCAGGCUAGAGUCUUGUAGAGGGGGGUAGAAUUCCAGGUGUAGCGGUGAAAUGCGUAGAGAUCUGGAGGAAUACCGGUGGCGAAGGCGGCCCCCUGGACAAAGACUGACGCUCAGGUGCGAAAGCGUGGGGAGCAAACAGGAUUAGAUACCCUGGUAGUCCACGCCGUAAACGAUGUCGAUUUGGAGGUUGUGCCCUUGAGGCGUGGCUUCCGGAGCUAACGCGUUAAAUCGACCGCCUGGGGAGUACGGCCGCAAGGUUAAAACUCAAAUGAAUUGACGGGGGCCCGCACAAGCGGUGGAGCAUGUGGUUUAAUUCGAUGCAACGCGAAGAACCUUACCUGGUCUUGACAUCCACAGAACUUUCCAGAGAUGGAUUGGUGCCUUCGGGAACUGUGAGACAGGUGCUGCAUGGCUGUCGUCAGCUCGUGUUGUGAAAUGUUGGGUUAAGUCCCGCAACGAGCGCAACCCUUAUCCUUUGUUGCCAGCGGU